RNAcentral lists this long non-coding RNA (311 nucleotides) under Ananas comosus (pineapple). RNAcentral's name for it is "long non-coding RNA (ACOM_LNC008312)". Lineage: Eukaryota; Viridiplantae; Streptophyta; Magnoliopsida; Poales; Bromeliaceae. The record is from RNAcentral.
AUAUAAAAAUACAUUUCCCUAUCUUACAGUAAGAUCAUAAAAAUUAUAUAUUAACCAAAUAUAUGAAUACUUUUAAGACACAUAAUAUACAUAUUUUUAUAAUUCUAAGAUAAAAAAUCUACGGACUGCAUAACAAAUAUUUAUACUUUAAAUUAAUUACUUGAUAAAUUUACUGAGUCUAUUACUUAUUAAUUAUUUGGUUGUUUUAUUAAAAUAAGACUAAAUUUAUCUUUAAUAUAAUUAUAUUUUUAAUGUCUAUAGUUAUUUAAAAAAUAAAAAUUUGAAGAACUUAAAAAAAAAAAAGAAAAAAA